UAGAGACUAAAGCAAACAGCAGCCUCCACCCGUCACCCCAGGAACCUUGUGCUUCUAGGUAAUGAACCUCCCACCACAGCUCCACUGGACAGAAUUGCCCCAGCUUCCUCCAGCCCAAACUCCUGCACCCACCACUCAGAGAAAUGGAAGUCAAGGACUCAGCAGUCCAAGGCAGCCCUUCUGAAGCAAGUUCAGUGGCUCAGCAAAUGUUUGUUGAGAACCUCCUAUGUGCCUGGCUGGAGCAGGGUGAGGCUGUGGAGCUGCACAUCAUAGUCCGCAUCUGGGUCAGCCCUGAAUCUCAGGCACUGGAAGACUCCACCUGGACCCAUGAUUCAUGACUCAACCUGUCCACCCAGAAGCUGACUCAGAGCAUAAGGACCAUUUUCCACACCCCUAGGAUUUCAUCUCCAACCAAUCAGCAUUCCCCAUUCUCUAGCCCCUGUCCACCAAACUAUUCUUUAAAAAUCUUAGCUCUAAGCUUUAUUUAUUUAUUUAAUACACUCCUGUCUUCCA
Symphalangus syndactylus (siamang) is the source of this 513-nucleotide long non-coding RNA. RefSeq lists it as uncharacterized. The record is from RefSeq and is a predicted model, not a curated record. NCBI's taxonomy places the organism in Eukaryota, Metazoa, Chordata, Mammalia, Primates, Hylobatidae.